This 2888-nucleotide long non-coding RNA is filed under the name Salmo salar (Atlantic salmon). RNAcentral's name for it is "lncRNA (ENSSSAG00000084602.1)". The record is from RNAcentral. Lineage: Eukaryota; Metazoa; Chordata; Actinopteri; Salmoniformes; Salmonidae.
GGAAAUGUAGACGAAGCUGAGAUAAUUGACAGCUCCAUGUUAAACAUAUUUCAGCUAAACAUUUUGCUGACAAAAGAAAAAUCGAAAUUAAAGGAAUACAAUGUAGAAGUUCUUUAUUAAAAAACAUGCAUGAGUAUUCACACAAAACUCACAGCAAUUACAAUACUUGGAAUAAAAACCCCAAAAGGAUUUGCAAUGAGUGUUAUUUAGGCUAGAUUAUGUUGGUGUUACAGAAAUAUUGGUAACCCUUAACAACUUUAGAAAGUAUUCUACUGGACUACUUAUAAACCAUUAACAUACCCUUUAUAAAGUACACCAUGUAAAUUGUUGCCAAAAUACUUUACAGGUAGACAAGAAUUUCAAAACAUAAUUUAGAAACAUAUUAAUUCUCAAAUAAUAGAAAUCACUGCACUUUCCAUUUAAAACAAUUACAUUUAAUCAUUAAAAUAAAAUUUUAUUCAACCUUAAACCUAACAAAAUAAUUGUCAGCCUAAACUGAAGACUACAACACGGCAAUGUGCAAUAAAUAAAUGCAGAAAUAUUUUUUUCUUCAUUCAGAGAAUAGGCCAAUAGCAAAUAUAUCUCUUCAGAAGGCGAGGUCAGUACAGGUGCAUCAAAGCUGGGACCGAGAGACAGAAAAACAGCUUCUAUCAAGGCCAUCAGACUGUUAAAUAGCCAUCACUAGCCAGUUACUCAACCCUGCACCUUAGAGGCUGCUACCCUAUAUACAUAGACAUGGAAUCACUGGUCACUUUAAUAAUGUUUAUGUAACCGGUGUGAAAUGGCUAGCUAGUUAGCGGGGUGCACGCUUAAAGCGUUUCAAUCGGUGACGUCACUCGCUCUGAGACCUUGAAGUAGUUGUUCCCCUUGCUAUGCAAGGGCCGUGGCUUUUGUGGAGUGAUAGAUAACGAUGCUUCGUGGGAGGUAGUUGUUGAUGUGUGCAGAGGGUCCCUGGUUCGGGGCAAGGAGGGGACGGAAGCAAAACUGUUACAUUUACAUACUGCUUUACUCAUCGCAUAUGUAUAUACUGUAUUCUAUUCUACUGUAUUUUAGCCAAUGCCACUCUUUAUUUUUAGAUUUGUUUGUAUUGUUAGAUAUUACUGCACUGUUGGAGCUAGGAACACAAGCAUUUUUGCUACACCCGCAAUAACAUCUGAUAAAUAUGUGUAUGUGACCAAUUUGAUAUCAAUAAAUAACCAUCCAUUACAAUAGGCUUGCAGGGCUACUCAAAUAUAAUACACGUAUUGUUUAACAUUGUAGUUGUGUGGGAGAGAGUCCUCGUGGCCCAUUGGGGGUGAGGGGGUUACACAUCAGAAGGGGAGGCCAUUACAGAGCAGAAACUAACAGCACCAUCAGCAGUCCCAGAAGGUGACAGAGAGGACUAGGGCACAGGGCCAGCCCGGAUGAAAUGCCUGCAUUGGGACACAAACACAAAAGCAACACUAACUGUAUGGAGACAAAGUCAACAACAUCAACUCAACAAUAAAGGAGCAUACAAUUGCAUCCUACAUCCAACACUCCUUCAAACCUUGAGCUGUCCUUCUUCCACUAGAUCCUGAUUCCUCUUCUUAUUCAGACUCAAAGUUACAAAAUAUACAUGCUGAAAGUAUGUACUGACAUAAUACGCAUCUAAUUUAAUUACCCUCUGCUAAGAUCAAGACAAUGUUAGCUUCAGUGAAACGUGUAAGGCUGACUACGAGAACCCGUCGGAUAUCGAGCCCUCAUAAUUGGGAAAAAGCCCGAAUCUGGAAAUUGAGAUUUUGGUUGUUUAGGAUUAUUUAAACGCUUUACUUUAUUGUAAUGUAAAUUUCACCUUUUUUUUGUCAUUAGCCAGCAAUGUGCCCAAUGUGAAAAACGCUCAUUUAAACUUGCCUGGGAGUGUUCCAGUUGACUUGGCACAUUCAAGACAACAUGCAACAGAUCAAUGAAAUCAGGCUGGUUUAGACACAUAAUAAUUUGCUAGAUAGUUAGUAAUAUAAUAGUAUAAAGUUGUCAUUCACAAUAAACAAUGUAGUUAUGAAUACAAGUGGGUCAGACGUUCAUUUUGUCUAUAAGUAGCCGUAGGCCACGCCAGAGCAAACCUUCAUAAAAGAAGUGCACACAUUCUUCCGAUGUUGCUUGAUCAGUGGGUUGGCCUGUUCGCUGCCAAAAUGACAUGAAAAUGGAUCAAAGUAUAUAAACAGUAUUGCCUUAAUUUCAUCCGUUCAGAAUUAUUUUGAUUUUAGGUAACAAAGCAAUUGAGAUCCUAUUCUAAAACUUGUGCUCCAACCUCAAUGAAGACCUCAGGGCUCCAGGAGCUUAUGGGUCCAAAAGCCAGGCUGUGGCUCAGCAGUCCCGUUAAAGCCUCUUCUGAACAGGCCAGCCUCACAUGGCCCAGCCACAGAACUGCCGUACCGCAGCCAGGAGGGGGAGAGGUCACAGGUAUUGCUGGAGCAGAGAGGACAGGAGUCAGGUCAUAGACGUUACCUGCUGAGUGUUCCAGGCUCGUCUUCCUGCCAAGGUCCUGUUGGUCAACAGCAGACUAGCCCUGGUCAGCACACUGAGUAGAGGGGUGCUGUGGAGCAGGGGCUCCACCUUAUCCAACCAGCCAGUCACCUCUGGAGUGAAGGGUACAGAGGCCAGGGCUGUCAGCACAGGGCUGAGCUUCUGUAGGAAGUCCACACCCAGCCAGGGCAAGAAGGGAGGCAGCUGAGAGAGAGCCAGUAGACUGAAGCUCAAUCCCAUUCAGGAACAAGCUGGAGAUCUGAAGAGGGAUGGUCACAAGCGUAACACACACAUAUAUUUACACAGGAAUCACACAAAGUGCAAACACAAGACAUUCAACCCAUAGAUUAAUCUAGUUCACUCAUACACAUAUGAGUUUCACCUUGAAUUUUGCGGUGAAAAAU